Molecule: long non-coding RNA, 513 nt
Filed under: Salmo salar (Atlantic salmon)
Lineage: Eukaryota; Metazoa; Chordata; Actinopteri; Salmoniformes; Salmonidae
Description: lncRNA (ENSSSAG00000095554.1)
Source: RNAcentral
CUCGUUUUACUGUGGAUAUAGAUACUUUGUACCUGUUUCCUCCAGCAUCUUCACAAGGUCCUUUGCUGUUGUUCUGGGAUUGAUUUGCACAUUUCGCACCAAAGUAUGUUCAUCUCUAGGAGACAGAAUGCGUCUCCUUCCUGAGCAGUAUGACGGCUGCGUGGUCCCAUGGUGUUGAUACUUGCAUACUAUUGUUUGUACAGAUGAACGUGGUACCUUCAGGCGUUUGGAAAUUGCUCCCAAGGAUGAACCAGACUUGUGGAUGUCUACAAUCUUUUUUCUGAGGUGUUGGCUGAUUUCUUUGGAUUUUCCCAUGAUGUCAAGCAAAGAGGCACUGAGUUUGAAGUUAAGACCAAGCCUAUGAACAACAGUGAGACUGACUAACACAGGCAGCAGCACUGGACAGCCAUGCAGGCGAUUCUCCAAGGAAUCAUCUUUUAUGCAGCGCUGGAGCUGAAAUGGACAAUAAAACUCAUCCUUUGUUGCUGUAUUGAAUAAUAAAAUUGUCAUGCA